UCCGCGUUUCUCACGGCAGUUUUCCUAGAGUGCCCAGCUUUCACCGGUCGCAACUAAGAAUAGGGGUUACGUUCGUUGCAGGACUCAACCUAACAUGUCACCACACGAACUGACGACAGCCAUGCAGCACCUGUCUUCCCGUUGUGUUGCCACAAACCCUGUGUUGCCACAGGUAGCAGGAGAUGUCAAAUCCAGGUAAGGUUUUGCGCGUUGCUUCGAAUUAAACCACAUGAUCCACCGCUUGUGCGGGCCCCCGUCAAUUCCUUUGAGUUUUAGUCUUGCGACCGUACUCCUCAGGCGGGGUACUUCGUGCGUUAGCUCCGUCAGAGCAGGGGUCAAGACCCACUCCAACUAGUACCCAUCGUUUACUGCGUGGACUAC
RNAcentral lists this unclassified non-coding RNA (381 nucleotides) under uncultured delta proteobacterium. RNAcentral describes it as "contains 16S-23S intergenic spacer region". The record is from RNAcentral. Lineage: Bacteria; Deltaproteobacteria.